Molecule: ribosomal RNA, 498 nt
Filed under: uncultured bacterium
Lineage: Bacteria
Description: partial 16S ribosomal RNA
Rfam family: Bacterial small subunit ribosomal RNA
Source: RNAcentral
AUUGAACGCUGGCGGCAUGCCUUACACAUGCAAGUCGAACGGUAGCAGGUCUUCGGAUGCUGACGAGUGGCGAACGGGUGAGUAAUACAUCGGAACGUGCCCGAUCGUGGGGGAUAACGCAGCGAAAGCUGUGCUAAUACCGCAUACGAUCUACGGAUGAAAGCGGGGGAUCUUCGGACCUCGUGCGGACGGAGCGGCCGAUGGCAGAUUAGGUAGUUGGUGGGGUAAAGGCUCACCAAGCCUGCGAUCUGUAGCUGGUCUGAGAGGACGACCAGCCACACUGGGACUGAGACACGGCCCAGACUCCUACGGGAGGCAGCAGUGGGGAAUUUUGGACAAUGGGCGCAAGCCUGAUCCAGCCAUGCCGCGUGCAGGAUGAAGGCCUUCGGGUUGUAAACUGCUUUUGUACGGAACGAAAAGUCUCUUCUUAAUAAAGAGGGAUCAUGACGGUACCGUAAGAAUAAGCACCGGCUAACUACGUGCCAGCCGCCGCCGUAA